Molecule: long non-coding RNA, 294 nt
Filed under: Lathyrus oleraceus (garden pea)
Lineage: Eukaryota; Viridiplantae; Streptophyta; Magnoliopsida; Fabales; Fabaceae
Description: Pisum sativum (pea) long non-coding RNA (PSAT_LNC033473)
Source: RNAcentral
UCCCUUCUUUUUAUCUCUUGUGUUUUAUCCCCUGUUUUUAUCCGUCGUUUUUUAUCCCUUGAAAUCCUAAGGUUUUAUCCCGUAACCUUAUACCAUAUUAUCCCUAGUUUUUUUUUUAUCCCAAAUUUCUAUCCCAUAAUUAUCCCAAAUUUUUUAUUCCCGAACUUCUAUCCCAAAACUAUCCCUUACUUUGUAUUCCAAAUUUCUAUCCCAAAAUUAUCCCACAUUUUUUAUUCCAUAUUUCAUUAGACAUAAUUUUUUUAUCCUGAUUUUAUCCCCGAUUUAACCCUUAAA